GCCGGAUACAGGAGACGGGAAGAAACAAGCCGAUUAUGUUCGCUUUAAUUAAGUGUUUGGAAGAUGUAAAAUUCUCAAUUCUGCCAACUGAACAUAUACGAGAUUUUAAUGAGGAUGAAUAAUUAGCCGGCAUGGAGGAAACGGACCUUUAUUUGGUGGAGUGGCGACAAGAAGCCAAAAGGCGGGUGGCCGGUCUAUGAAGCCUCCAUCAUCAAGCUAGCAGCCCAUGAAAUCGAAUGCAGAUCUUCCUGAUGUGAGAUUUACAUAAAUAUGUCAAAGUCUCAACCUCAUGCUGCCCUCCCCCAUCCUCCUAAAGUAAGUAUUUGUUGUUGUAGUUUUUUAUACAGUGUCUGUGUCACAUGCUAAUCAUAAUUAUUGAAAUAACUG
Molecule: long non-coding RNA, 387 nt
Organism: Oreochromis aureus
Lineage: Eukaryota; Metazoa; Chordata; Actinopteri; Cichliformes; Cichlidae
Source: Ensembl